CCCUUAGAUGUUCUGGGCCGCACGCGUGCUACACUGAGUGGAUCAGCGGGUCAGGUUGCGCGAAAGCGUUUCCUAAUCUUUAAAUCCGCUCGUGAUGGGGAUUGACGGUUGCAAUUUUCUGUCAUGAACGAGGAAUACCUUGUAAGCGCGGGUCAUCAUCCCGCGCUGAAUACGUCCCUGCCCUUUGUACACACCGCCCGUCGCUCCUACCGAUUGAGUGGUCCGGUGAGGCUUUGGGAUCUGAACGGAAAGAGCGUUUCGCUGUUUCUGCUCGGAAAACUCAGUCGAACCUUAUCAUUUAGAGGAAGGAGAAGUCGUAACA
Molecule: ribosomal RNA, 322 nt
Filed under: uncultured eukaryote
Lineage: Eukaryota
Description: partial 18S ribosomal RNA
Rfam family: Eukaryotic small subunit ribosomal RNA
Source: RNAcentral